RNAcentral lists this ribosomal RNA (324 nucleotides) under uncultured eukaryote. RNAcentral's name for it is "partial 18S ribosomal RNA". It matches the Rfam family "Eukaryotic small subunit ribosomal RNA", at positions 1470 to 1796 of the family's 1831-position model. The record is from RNAcentral.
CCCUUAGAUGUUCUGGGCCGCACGCGCGCUACACUGAUGCAUUCAACGAGUUUCUUCCUGGUCCGAGAGGAAUGGGUAACCUUUUGAAAGUGCAUCGUGAUAGGGAUAGACUAUUGCAAUUAUUGGUCUUCAACGAGGAAUUCCUAGUAGACGUAGUUCAUCAGACUGCAUCGAUUACGUCCCUGCCCUUUGUACACACCGCCCGUCGCUCCUACCGAUUGGAUGCUCAGGUGAGCCAUUCGGACUUUCAUCAUGCUGGUUUCCAGUUUUGAUGAAGGAAAGUCUUGCGAACCUUAUCAUUUAGAGGAAGGAGAAGUCGUAACA